Non-coding RNA from Callithrix jacchus (white-tufted-ear marmoset), 1923 nucleotides. The record is from RefSeq and is a predicted model, not a curated record. NCBI's taxonomy places the organism in Eukaryota, Metazoa, Chordata, Mammalia, Primates, Cebidae.
CGGGUGGCCCUCAGCAGCAUCAAACCCAGCAGACACCAGGACCAGGUCUGGAGAGAACUCUCGGGCGAUGGGCAUCACGACUAUCCUGUGAGGUCACAAGAAGUGGCAGUCAUCGUACUGCGCAGGGUUGCCAGGGUCCCCACAGCUGCCUCCACCUACCCCUAACCCAACUCUGGGGCCUGCCUGGGUGCUCUUCAAAGCCCUGAGCUCGGAGAAGACUCCAGGAACUCCGACCCAGGAUUAGCUGUCGGAGACAACUCCAGAAAAGUGUUUCAAGAUCCAUUUCCAGAGCUCUCUUUCCCCAAAUGGGCUGCAGGAACCCCAGUAUGAAAUAUAUGAGGGCUCCUGAACAGAUCCUGAAGCCCCUCUUCCAGAAUAGUUUUUCUCAAGUUACUCUUCCAAUAUGGACAUUAUACGCUUUGUCUCCUCCACAAUUUAAGUUUCUGUUCUCCUGCUCAAAGCCCACCUCCUGCAGGCAGCCUUCUCUGACUAAAUGUGUCAGCUCUGCUCACUCCAUUGCCCAUCUGCCAGCAAUCGGUUUGACACUGGCUCUGGGUAAUGUCUGCCUCUGCAAAGCGCCCUUUGACUUCUACGUUCUUCUCUCUGUGUCCUAUGCCCACUGCUGUUCACCUUCCAUGUCUGGGAACUGGUGGGGACAGGCUGACAAUCCAACUGGCCACCUCCACCCCGGUGAUCUCGGAAUAAGGGACAGGAGAGGGUGGCCUUGCCCUUCUGGGCCCCCAGAGCAUGUACCUGAAAGCAGCCAGGUACUCCGGAUCCCCCAUGGGGGGGUCCAGGCCUCCAGCCCAGGCCACAUUGACAUUGAAGCCCUCACCACUGCCAGCCCCUACCUGGAAAACAGAAGGCAAGAGAGACAUGAGGACAGUAGAGUCCCAGAAGGGGAACGCCAGCAUGUCAGCGCUGCCAGCCCAGCUCAUCCAGCCUCCUCAUUUCCAGGUGGGGAAGCUGAGGAUCAAAGAGCCUUGGCAAUCUGCCCAGGAUCACAUAGCUGGUCAUGACAGCGGCAGAGUAAGCGCCAGGAGGAGAGUUGAUGAGGCUGGAAGAUGUGGCCCUGAUGUGCAGUUACCUCAUCCACUGCCCCACUCCCCGGGAAGAAGUUGCCGUUGUCAUGGCGAUGCAGGGAGAUGUAGAGCACACUGGAGUCUUGGUAGAAGGUCUGCUGGGUGCCGUUGCCGUGGUGCACGUCCUGUGAAGGGAGAUGGGCAGUGAUUACGGAAGGUCCGAAGGCAGAGAGAGGGAGGCCAGGACAAGUUAGAAGGGUUUCAAGGUCAGUGGCCAUUCUGAGGUCAGGACCCUAGCCUGGGGAUCAGGAACCUGGGGUUCCUAGAGCCACAUGGUUGAGUGGCCCCACAUAAUCCACUGCCCGGCUCUGAAACUCGGUCUCUCUGUGAGGGAUGAGGCUGGCUGUAAUAUGAGAUCCUGAAGGAGAGGAAGUGUCCCAAUCUUAGGCCAGCCCACCUGAGAGAGUAACCGUGUGGACAUGGGGUUAGUGGCAUGGAGAGGGGAGGGUCCGGGGUUACACACAUCAGGAACCACUGCGUCUUGCAUAAAGUCAUGAAGUGAGGUGAUCAGGAACCAAGCUCGGUUACAGAGGGGCUGGUACAUGAGCUCUCCUAGGGAGCGCUGGGCCCUACACUCAACUCACAGAACCAUGCGGGGGCUCAAGUGUGCAAAGGUCCUCCACCAUUCUCAACUCCUGCUUAGAAACAUCUCUCACAGCUGUCAGUGCAGAAGGGAAAUCGCCUAGCAGUUAAAUGCAAGCACUCUAGAGCUGACCGGCCUGGGUUCCAAUCCAUCUCAUGACUUACGAAUGACUGUGUGUGAGUUACUUAACCUCUCUGUGCUCACUUUCACCUGUAAAGCGGGUUAUAGUCAGGAUUAAACCCAUCAUGUGUAAAACCA